This is a long non-coding RNA of Gadus macrocephalus (Pacific cod), 1713 nucleotides long. RefSeq lists it as uncharacterized. The transcript is spliced from 8 exons. NCBI's taxonomy places the organism in Eukaryota, Metazoa, Chordata, Actinopteri, Gadiformes, Gadidae. The record is from RefSeq and is a predicted model, not a curated record.
ACAGUGUUCUACUUGCGGGCCAAUUUUUUACAUCGGGGAAGGCUGAAAAUCAUUUCAAGGUGGAAGAUAAUUUGACAUUUCUUCAACGGAACCCAGCACCUGAAUAUGGCUGAGUAUAUUUGAUUUAAUAUCGAUACUGCUUAGUGUUCUUUGUUACUUCAGCUUUUGUACGUUCUAAAUAUUCAGUCAUUAAUUGCCACAGAAGUUAAACCCUACCCAAUGGAAUGACGUUAAACAACGACUUUGGUGCAGAGUUACCAACUGGAUAAUAUCAAAGCUAAAAUAAUGGCCGUCAUUCCCACAUGUUACAGUAGAAGAUACUGUAGAACUGUACAAGGUUAAAAAGGUAACAUGUAGUUUGUCCCAAGGUGUCUGCCUCCUCACCCAGAGCAAGACGUCCACCUCCUCACCCAGAGCCAGACCUCCACCUCCUGUCAGAAGUCCUCCAGAACAGCUGAAAGGUGAGGCUGAGAGGCUGGGGACCGGAGGCUUGUGGUGCCAGGGUGGACCGGAGACUGAGGCUGGAGACCAGGGGCCUGCAGCACCGGACCAGAGGACCAGGAAUCCAUGGCUGAAGGAGCUGAUGGAGGAGCCGUGCUGAAGGAGCUGAUGGAGAAGCCGUGCUGAAGGAGCUGAUGGAGGAGCCGUGCUGAAGACCCUGGGCUGGUGGAGGAGCUGGUGGAGGGCCUGCCUGGUGAAUGACGUCUGUCGUGGGGUAGAUGGAGCUUGACUCUGAAACCAGGACUCUGUCUGAGGAGAGCUGCUGGAGGAGCUGAGACGCUGGAGGACGACUAGGAAUUGACCAACAAGGAUUCCUCAACGUGUUUCUGGAGCGGAGGCGAGCUGGUAGGGGAGCCGUGAAUCUGGAGGAUGACCAUCACUCUACCAACAAGGGUUACUUUAGGGCCAGACUCGCGCUGUUUGUUCCAGACCAGGACUCUGGCUGAGGAGAGCUGAUGGAGGAGCCAAGACUCUGGAGGACGACUUCACUCCACCAACCAGGAUCCUCAGACAAAUUACGUUUGCAACCAGACCAGGAAUCUGGAGGACUGAUGGAGAAGCCAUACAUCUGGAAGGCAAAUCCUGAGGACCACCAGGACUCUACCAUCAAGGAUUCCUCAUUAAUGUGCAUUAUCUGGACGUAGUGGACUAGACACACCUGAGCUGAACCUCACCUGAUCCUGUUUGGUCGGGGGUAGACACACCUGAGCUAAACCCGCCCUGAUCCUGACAUCCUGCUGGACCCGUCUCCUCAGUUCAUCUGAGCCUCGUCCUCCAGAAGACCUGCUGAGCUCAGCAGUCUGAGGCUGAUGGAUCAAUGACCUCCAGUGGGAGUGAUCUUCUUGACCCCACAUGUAACCGUGUGCUUCCACACGCCUUUUCCUCACGUCUGUCACUAACCUCACUACCUCACUACUUCACUACUCUCUACUGCUUCCUCCUUUCUUCCUUCUCUGUGGUUCAAACCUUUACACUGAAGGCGCGUCUUCCUGCCCUCAGAGGGUUUAGCGUUAGGGUUGAGAGUCAGGGUUUAGAGUCAGGGACAGAGCUGGUCAGGGAGGACUGCUUUUACACAAACCUCUUCACUUGCUUCGGAAUGGUGGUGACAUUUUGAAAAGAUUCAUUUGGGAAAAUGUUUUCCUCUGCUUUCCUUUACAAAUUGUAUUCAACUUCUGGCAAGUGUUUUUGUUUAUAUAUUAAAAUCCCACAUUG